UUAAAUUUCAUGUCUUAGAAGCAAGCAUAUCAAAAGUUAAAAAUAGGAAAUGCGAAAAGCAUAAGGUAUACUUCAAUUCAUCUCCUUUCGUAGCUUCGACUAAAUUACUCGGAAUAAAUAUUAAAAUUUGCAUCUGAAGAAACAUGUUACCAUGGAUUAGUCAUACAGCAGCAGAUGAUGUAAAAGCAGCACAAGGUAUCAGCAACAAAUUGCGAAUAAAAAGAUCAUAAAAUAUCCUUCUCCAGAUUCAAAAUUUUUCAGAGAGUAAAUUCAUGAUGAUUGAGGAGGAAAGAGGAAAAAGGAGUUUAAUUGCAACAGUAACUAAUCCAUCCUCAAACAUUGGUUUAUUUAGAUGAUUCUAAAUGAUCAUGAACUAUACAUCAAUUUAAUGUGGUGAGGUUGAUUGAGGGAGAGAGAUAUAAGGAAAUGAAUUGGAAAGAGAACAACAAUAAAAUAUCAAAUUCCAGUUAUAUCUAAGCUUCAGUCCAAGGGUUGACCCAGAAAAGAAAAAAUGUGUUUACUUGGUAGCUAAGUUUAGUAAAUAAUAUCUAUUAGGACCAAAGAAAAAAAAAAGUAACACAAUAAAAUUCCAAGGAACUAAAAAACAAAAUUGUAGCUAUUUCAUUAUUAGAGUCAGCACCAAAUAAGCGAAAUCACGAGGAAAAGGACUCCACCAAAUAAGCGGAAUCACAAGGAAAAAGGGAAAAUCGCAUAUAAAUUAGUCAAAAAAGUACAAAACAAAUAAUUUGAAGCGCAAAUUAACAAAAUUUUACAACAGAAAAGGGAAAAAUCACAUAUAAAUUGGUCGGGAAAACAAAUACAAAAAAAAAUAAUUUGAAGCGCAAAUUGACGAAAUUUAAGAAUACAAAAAAAAAAUGUUAAGAUGACCAACGAAUCAAAUCCUCUUCAAUCACCAAAACCCCCCCACAAAAAAAAGGAAAAAGCUUUUUUCCUAUACCCUAAUAAUCCAUCUCAAAAAACCCCCCAAAAAACACCAAAUUAAAUCGAAUUAAAGAGAAGGACAUAACACAUCAACAAAUACACCUCAAAAACCCCUAAAAAUUCACCAGAUUGAGCCCCCAGAAUAAGCGUAAAAAGAGCAAUUGCCCCUCUCCUAGGGCAUCGUCGAUAGAAUUCGCCCACAAUUGCACCAAAAUGCCACCUUUAAUCCAAAAAAAAAAAGAAAAAACCUUUUUCCCUCGCAACCCAGUAAACCACCAACAAAACCCCAAAAAAAUCCCCCAAAAGACCAUCAAAUUAAAUCGGAAAAAAAAAGCGUAAGAGAGAGAGCAAUCGCCCCUCACCUAGGGCAUCGUCGAUAGAAUUCGUCAACAAUUACACCAAAAUGUCACCUUUAAUCCAAAAAAAAAACCUUUUUUCCCUCACAACCCAGUAACCCACCAACAAAAACCUAAAAAAAUCCCCAAAAACCAUCAAAUUAAAUCGGGGAAAAAAAAAAGCGUAAAAGAGAGAGCAAUUGCCCCUCACCUAGGGCAUCGUCGAUAGAAUUCGUCAACAAUUACACCAAAAUGUCACCUUUAAUCCAAAAAAAAAAACCUUUUUUCCCUCACAACCCAGUAACCCACCAACAAAAACCUAAAAAAAUCCCCAAAAACCAUCAAAUUAAAUCGAGAAAAAAAAAAGCACAAGAGACAGCAAUCGUUCCCUCACCUAGUGCAUCGUCGAGGAGGAGGUGAUGGGGGAGAGGGGAGCAGGUGGAGGUAGGAGUCGUCGACGACGACGAAGUCGUUGUUGCGUUCCCCCCUCCUCCCCCUAUUGUAUUAUAUUUCGCAGUAGCGUGAGAGAGAGAGAGAGAGAGAGAGAGAGAGAGAGACAGUGUGUGUGUGUGUGAGAGGGAGCGUUUGAAUGCGAAAGUGUCCCUCGCUUUCCUCCGACGCGGUUUUUAAGCGCGGAUGCGGUCCCAUCACCAUACCCGGUGAGGAUACCGCCCACUCAUGCUCUCCCGCACUACACGGCAUGUUUGUUUCCCCGAAGCUGAAAAUGAAGUUUAAAUUGAAUUAGAAUUUCGAGUGAAUUAAAUAUCAGAUGAAUGUUUUUUUAAAAAAAAUUAUCAAAUAAUAUAUUAUAGUAUUUUGGACAUAUUGAAAAUUUCGUAGUGAAUUAAAUUUCAGACCAAAUUUAAAUUUCAAAGUUAUAAAAUAACAAGUUUAAAAUUUAAAAACUAACAAUAUCAAAUUUAAAAUUUAAAAUUUUAAAAUAUCAAAUUUAAAAUUUAAACUUUAAUAAAAUUUAAAAUUUUAAUUUAUUAAUUAUAAUUAUAAAAUUAUAAAUUUUAAAAAUUUUAUAUUUAAAUUUAAACUAAAAUUCUCUCUCUCUCUCUCUCUCCACUCAAGUGGGUUGGAACAAGCUUGUUCCAACCCCGGGUGGGAACAAGUGUUCCCAUCAUAACGGGUUCCCACCAUGAAAAAAUUGUGUUUGGGUAUAAAGGGAGGAUAUCCCUUUAUCCCCCCUUUAUACCCGAGGCAAACGGGGUGUAAUAGAAUUUUUUUUCCAUCCGAGGUGAGACCAAGACUACUGAGACAUUACAAAUUCGUGGUAUAGUAUUUCGUAUUGUAUAGUACUUAAACCUCACGCUUUCGGCUGAUGUUCGUUUAUAGUACCAAUUGUAACGAUUUGGUCUCGACCCGUUAAUAAUAAUAACUCGUUGAGUCUAAAUCAUUAGCUUAAAAUUACACUCAGUUAUUAUUACUAAAUUAGAUGACUCUUGUAUUUAUAAUCAGAACCUAUUUUCCAUCUAAGGUGAAAUUAUUAUUAGGACAUUACAAAUAUAAUGAAUUUA
RNAcentral lists this long non-coding RNA (2800 nucleotides) under Ananas comosus (pineapple). RNAcentral's name for it is "long non-coding RNA (ACOM_LNC017262)". The record is from RNAcentral. Lineage: Eukaryota; Viridiplantae; Streptophyta; Magnoliopsida; Poales; Bromeliaceae.